UACAGAGGGGGCAAGCGUUGUUCGGAAUUACUGGGCGUAAAGGGCGCGUAGGCGGCCUGCUAAGUCGAACGUGAAAUCCCUGGGCUCAACCCAGGAACUGCGUCCGAUACUGGCAGGCUUGAAUCCGGGAGAGGGAUGCGGAAUUCCAGGUGUAGCGGUGAAAUGCGUAGAGAUCGGGAAGAACGCCGGCGGCGAAAGCGACUCACUGGUCGGAAUCUGACGCUGAGGUGCGAAAGCUAGGGGAGCAAACGGG
RNAcentral lists this ribosomal RNA (253 nucleotides) under uncultured bacterium. RNAcentral describes it as "partial 16S ribosomal RNA". It matches the Rfam family "Bacterial small subunit ribosomal RNA", at positions 524 to 776 of the family's 1533-position model. The record is from RNAcentral.